Molecule: ribosomal RNA, 497 nt
Filed under: uncultured bacterium
Lineage: Bacteria
Description: partial 16S ribosomal RNA
Rfam family: Bacterial small subunit ribosomal RNA
Source: RNAcentral
GAUGAACGCUGGCGGCGUGCCUAAUACAUGCAAGUCGAGCGAACGGACGAGAAUCUUGCUUCUCUGAUGUUAGCGACGGACGGGUGAGUAACACGUUGAUAACCUACCUAUAAUACUGGGAUAACUUCGGGAAACCGGAGCUAAUACCGGAUAAUAUUUUGAACCGCAUGGUUCAAAAGUGAAAGACGGUCUUGCUGUCACUUAUAGAUGGAUCCGCGCUGCAUUAGCUAGUUGGUAAGGUAACGGCUUACCAAGGCAACGAUGCAUAGCCGACCUGAGAGGGUGAUCGGCCACUCUGGAACUGAGACACGGUCCAGACUCCUACGGGAGGCAGCAGUAGGGAAGCUUGCGCAAUGGGCGAAAGCCUGACGGAGCAACGGCGCGUGGGUGAUGAAGGUCUGCGGAUCGUAAAACUCUGUUAUUGGGGAAGAACAUAUGUGUAAGUAACUGUGCACAUCUUGACGGUACCUAAUCAGAAAGCCACGGCUAACUACGUG